CCUACGGGAGGCAGCAGUGGGGGAUAUUGCACAAUGGGGGAAACCCUGAUGCAGCGACGCCGCGUGGGUGAAGAAGCGCCUCGGCGCGUAAAGCCCUGUCAGCAGGGAAGAAAAUGACGGUACCUGAAGAAGAAGCCCCGGCUAACUACGUGCCAGACGCCGCGGUAAUACGUAGGGGGCAAGCGUUAUCCGGGUUUACUGGGUGUAGAGGGGGCGCAGGCGGUGAUGCGAGCCAGGAGUGAAAGCCCGGGGCCCAACCCCGGGCCUGCUCUUGAAACUGCGUGGCUGGAGUGUAGGAGGGGCAGGCGGAAUGCCUGGUGUAGCGAGGAAAUGCGUAGAUAGCAGGAGGAACACCGGUGGCGAAGGCGGCCUGCUGGAC
RNAcentral lists this ribosomal RNA (379 nucleotides) under uncultured bacterium. Its description in RNAcentral is "partial 16S ribosomal RNA". It matches the Rfam family "Bacterial small subunit ribosomal RNA", at positions 338 to 734 of the family's 1533-position model. The record is from RNAcentral.